RNAcentral lists this unclassified non-coding RNA (90 nucleotides) under Pseudomonas sp. Z003-0.4C(8344-21). Lineage: Bacteria; Pseudomonadati; Pseudomonadota; Gammaproteobacteria; Pseudomonadales; Pseudomonadaceae. The record is from RNAcentral.
UGUGGGAGCUGGCUUGCCAGCGAUGGCGGUGUGUCAGGCAACAGAGAUUGAAACUGAUCCACCCUCAUCGCUGGCAAGCCAGCUCCCACA